CAAAUUUAAACGCGAUAUCCUAUGCCCACGUAUUUAUUCUGACGACGCCUUGUAGUUUUUAAGUCGAUGGAGUGUCAUUCGUGACGACGCUGCAGCGCGACUUUCAGUAGGCGCGUAAGAAUUAUAAGUUCCGAAACGUAAAAAUUCCGAGUUUAAACGCGAUAUCCUAUGCCCACGUAUUUAUUCUGACGACGCCUUGUAGUUUUUAAGUCGAUAGAGUGUCAUUCGUGACGACGCUGCAGCUAGGCGCGUAAGAAUUAUAAGUUCCGAAACGUAAAAAUUCCGAGUUUAAACGCGAUAUCCUAUGCCCACGUAUUUAUUCUGACGACGCCUUGUAGUUUUUAUGUCGAUAGAGUGUCAUUCGUGACGACGCUGCAGCGCGACUUU
This is a long non-coding RNA of Vollenhovia emeryi, 387 nucleotides long. RefSeq lists it as uncharacterized. The record is from RefSeq and is a predicted model, not a curated record. NCBI's taxonomy places the organism in Eukaryota, Metazoa, Arthropoda, Insecta, Hymenoptera, Formicidae. The transcript is spliced from 2 exons.